RNAcentral lists this long non-coding RNA (489 nucleotides) under Mustela putorius furo (domestic ferret). RNAcentral describes it as "lncRNA (ENSMPUG00000024451.1)". Lineage: Eukaryota; Metazoa; Chordata; Mammalia; Carnivora; Mustelidae. The record is from RNAcentral.
GGCAAAGACAACUGCCUUGUAGCCUCCUCGGACCCUGAUAUCAACGAGAUCUGCGCCAGGCACCCCGCAGACACCAACCCGCACUCUCCUUCUGGGAAGGAGGGCUCAAAACCUGCCUGCCUUUUCUCCCUCUGUGAUUCGUUUGUAUAUUCUAUUAUUUAUGAACGGUGUGGAGGUGAGGGUAAGAGGACGUGGGCUGUUCAAUCUUUCUGAACCAGUCAGGCAGUCUGAUGCAUUAGAAUAUUUUGCAGCACAGCGGAUUUCCAGCAAGGAGGCUGCUUCGCGCAACGCGAAGCUAAGGAGGUUGGUUGCUGGCUGGGGUCUCCAGGUGAUGAGCAAUUGAAGUUGAGAUGAAUAACAUAUUUGGGGACAUGCACCACUGGAAAGAUGAGGAUUACAGGAUGAAGUCUCCUAUAGGAAUGCUGGCCGAGGUAACAAAAUCAAGCCCCAUUAGGUUGUCUCUGUAGCGCAGACUGUAAAUGGCAAGGG